AUGUUCAGGAGGUGGAUCUGGAAGGAUGUGGGCGAGGGCAUGGGUGAGGACUCAGCGACGGCAGCAGGUGGCAGCGAUCCGCGGGCUGGCAACGUAGAGGAGGACGCCUCACAGCUCAUCUUUCCUAAAGAGUUUGAAACAGCUGAGACACUUCUAAAUUCAGAAGUUCAUAUGCUUCUGGAACGUCGAAAGCAGAAGAAUGAGAGUGCAGAGGAUGAACAGGAACUCUCAGAAGUCUUCAUGGAAACGUUAAACUACACAGCCCGUUUCAGUCGUUUCAAAAACAGAGAGACCAUUGCCCGUGUUCGUAGCUUGCUACUCCCGAAGAAACUUCACAAGUUGGAGUUGGCCUGUGUGGCCAACCUUUGCCCAGAGACUGCUGAGGAGUCCAAGGCUCUAAUCCCAAGCUUGGAGGGACGGUUUGAAGAUGAGGAGCUGCAGCAGAUUCUUGAUGAUAUCCAGACAAAGCGCAGCUUUCAGUAUUAAUCUCCAAACAUCGCUGCUGCUCGGAGAAAUCGCGUCCCCAGGGGUAACACCUUCCCAGGCUCUGGGGCUGACUUGCAUGGAAAUGCUGUUGCGGAGGACAGUUGAGAAUUCCUUUGGAGAAAACAGCCCAGCUUGGCGUGGCAUUAGGUUGCUGUUUCAAAUAACUCAUAGGCCCAGGACAUGGAAUCUUGGAGCAGCCUUGUGCAGUGGCUGCCAGUGGCUUCCUGAACGUGCCUCUGGAAAGUGUGAGAUGGGGCCACACUAUUGACUACCUCAUUCAUGGUUUUUGGCCUCCACAUCAUCUUUUUUCUUAAUAUUUCAUGUUUUAAUUUCAGUGCAUUUAUACUUUUUGAAACUAGACCAGAAUAUAGUAGACUUUAUAGAGAAAGACCAGUUUCACCUAGAUGCUAAAGGAAGAAUUAAACCACUGUUAUUGUUUGAAAUGCUUUUUUUUUCUUUUCUUUUCUUUUAAAUGGAGAUAGGGUCUUAACUCUUACCCAGGCUGGAGGAGUGUAGUCAUACAGUCAUGGCUCACUGAGCCUGGACCCCCCUGCCUCAGCCUCCCAAAUAACUGGGGCCAAAGGUGUGCACCACCACUCUCAGCUAAUUUUUAAAAUUUUUUAUAGAGAUGGGGUGUUACUGUGCUGCCUAGACUGGUCUUAAACUCCUAGGCUCAAGUGAUCCCCCUGCCUUGGCCUCCCAAACUGGUGCGAUUACAGGCAUGAGCCACCACACCUGGCCUGAAAUUCUGAAGGGAUGAGAGUGUCAACAGAGCACGUUGGCAUCAUUGUGGCUAACCUGGGAGGCGGAAGAAGCAUGCCAUGGCCAUGGGCAGUGUUGACAAGUAUUGUGGAACUCAUAGUCCCUUGAGGUAGAUGGCUACUUUGCCUUUCUUCUUGAACUGUCUUGCAGAAUGUGGAUGUGGGGUGAGUGGUCUUGAAGGGCUCAUUUAGUCACCCUCAAAUUAAGAUUUUUACUUCAUCUUUCUUGGGCCUACACCUCCAAGAUAAGAAGCAGUGGUCAUGCCAAAGAGGCUCGCAAGUAGGUGUGCGCUGUUCACUGCAGCCUAUUUGUUGCAUGAACUGUGGUCGUUGUGUGCCCAAUGACAAGGCUAUUAAGAAGUUCAUCAUUUGAAAUGUAGAGGCCACAGCAGUCAGCGAUGGUUCUGAAGUGAGCAUCCUUGAAGCCUGUGUACUUCCCAGGCUGGAUGUGAAGCUACAUUACUGUGUGAGUUGUGCCACUCACAGCACGGUAGUCAGGAAUCGAGCUCAUGAAGCCCACAAGGACCGAACACCUCCACCCCAGUGUAGACCUGCAGGUACUGCCCCAUGCCCCCACCAAAGCCCAUAUAAGGAGUGGAGUUGUUAAGGACUGAAGAAAAACUAUUCUCUGGAGAAAAAUAAAAUUGCAAUU
Molecule: RNA transcript, 1899 nt
Organism: Piliocolobus tephrosceles (Ugandan red Colobus)
Lineage: Eukaryota; Metazoa; Chordata; Mammalia; Primates; Cercopithecidae
Gene name: DNA-directed RNA polymerase II subunit RPB4 pseudogene
Exons: 2
Source: RefSeq, a predicted model, not a curated record